UGGGGAAUAUUGGACAAUGGGCGAAAGCCUGAUCCAGCCAUGCCGCGUGUGUGAAGAAGGUCUUCGGAUUGUAAAGCACUUUAAGUUGGGAGGAAGGGCAGUAAGCGAAUACCUUGCUGUUUUGACGUUACCGACAGAAUAAGCACCGGCUAACUCUGUGCCAGCAGCCGCGGUAAUACAGAGGGUGCAAGCGUUAAUCGGAAUUACUGGGCGUAAAGCGCGCGUAGGUGGUUCGUUAAGUUGAAUGUGAAAGCCCCGGGCUCAAACUGGGAAAUGCAUCCAAAACUGGCGAGCUAGAGUAGGGCAGAGGGUGGUGGAAUUUCCUGUGUAGCGGUGAAAUGCGUAGAUAUAGGGAGGAACACCCGUGGCGAAGGCGACCACCUGGGCUCAUACUGACACUGAGGUGCGAAAGCGUGGGGAGCAAACAGG
This 429-nucleotide ribosomal RNA is filed under the name Pseudomonadota bacterium. Its description in RNAcentral is "Proteobacteria bacterium partial 16S ribosomal RNA". It matches the Rfam family "Bacterial small subunit ribosomal RNA", at positions 355 to 776 of the family's 1533-position model. The record is from RNAcentral. Lineage: Bacteria; Pseudomonadati; Pseudomonadota.